RNAcentral lists this ribosomal RNA (393 nucleotides) under uncultured bacterium. RNAcentral describes it as "partial 16S ribosomal RNA". It matches the Rfam family "Bacterial small subunit ribosomal RNA", at positions 523 to 918 of the family's 1533-position model. The record is from RNAcentral.
AUACGUAGGGGGCAAGCGUUAUCCGGAUUUACUGGGUGUAAAGGGAGCGUAGACGGAAGGCCAAGUCUGAUGUGAAAGCCCGCGGCUCAACUGCGGGACUGCAUUGGAAACUGGUCAUCUGGAGUGCAGGAGGGGUAAGCGGAAUUCCUAGUGUAGCGGUGAAAUGCGUAGAUAUUAGGAGGAAUACCGGUGGCGAAGGCGACUUUCUGGACAUGUACUGACGCUGAGGUACGAAAGCGUGGGGAGCAAACAGGAUUAGAUACCCUGGUAGUCCACGCCGUAAACGAUGAGUGCUAGGUGUUGGGGGUCAAACCUCGGUGCCGCAGUUAACACAUUAAGCACUCCGCCUGGGGAGUACGUGCGCAAGCAUGAAACUCAAAUGAAUUGACGGGG